This 510-nucleotide ribosomal RNA is filed under the name uncultured bacterium. RNAcentral describes it as "partial 16S ribosomal RNA". It matches the Rfam family "Bacterial small subunit ribosomal RNA", at positions 28 to 507 of the family's 1533-position model. The record is from RNAcentral.
GACGAACGCUGGCGGCGUGCUUAACACAUGCAAGUCGAACGAAGAGCGAUGGAAGCUUGCUUCUAUCAAUCUUAGUGGCGCACGGGUGAGUAACGCGUAAUCAACCUGCCCUUCAGAGGGGGACAACAGUUGGAAACGACUGCUAAUACCGCAUACGAUCUAAUCUCGGCAUCGAGGAUAGAUGAAAGGUGGCCUCUACAUGUAAGCUAUCACUGAAGGAGGGGAUUGCGGCUGAUUAGCUAGUUGGAGGGGUAACGGCCCACCAAGGCGAUGAUCAGUGGCCGGGCUGAGAGGAUGAACGGCCACAAUGGGACUGAGACACGGCCCAGACCCCUACGGGAGGCAGCAGUGGGGAAUCUUCCGAAAUGGACGAAAGUCUGACGGAGCAACGCCGCGUGAGGGAUGACGGCCUUCGGGUUGUAAAGCUCUGUUAAUCGGGACGAAAGGCCUUCUUGCGAAUAGUGAGAAGGAUUGACGGUACCGGAAGAGAAAGCCACGGCUAACUACGUG